This 293-nucleotide ribosomal RNA is filed under the name uncultured bacterium. Its description in RNAcentral is "partial 16S ribosomal RNA". It matches the Rfam family "Archaeal small subunit ribosomal RNA", at positions 455 to 747 of the family's 1478-position model. The record is from RNAcentral.
GUGCCAGCGCCGCGGGUAAUACCGGCAGCCCGAGUGAUGGCCGAACCUAUUGGGCCUAAAGCGUCCGUAGCUGGGUCUGAAAGUCCAUCGGGAAAUCCACUCGCUCAACGAGUGGCCGUCCGGUGGAAACUCCACACCUUGGGACCGGAAGGCUCGAAGGGUACGUUCGGGGUAGGAGUGAAAUCCCAUAAUCCCGCACGGACCACCGAUGGCGAAAGCACUUCGAGAAAACGGAUCCGACAGUGAGGGACGAAAGCCAGGGUCUCCAACCGGAUUAGAAACCCGUGUAGUCC